This 1494-nucleotide long non-coding RNA is filed under the name Triticum aestivum (bread wheat). RNAcentral's name for it is "long non-coding RNA (TAES_LNC022391)". The record is from RNAcentral. Lineage: Eukaryota; Viridiplantae; Streptophyta; Magnoliopsida; Poales; Poaceae.
GCCUCGUCUUUUCCUUCAGGUUGGUCGUUUGUCGUCUAAGUGGCAAGGUGAGCUAAUUACUUUGUUCAAUCUAGGGUCAAGAUUCAUCUCCCCUUCACCAUUAUUCACUUUCUAUGCAAUUAUUCCAUUGAUCCAUAAGUUUGGCAUCCUCUGUUUGAGCAUUUAGCUUGCUUUUGCUGCCAAUUACAAAUUGUUUGCAUCUGAACACCAGUGGCGGAGCUAUGUGUGCUCCUGGGGGUGCUGUGGCCCCCCCAGCCUAAGCAAAAAGUGCGAAGGAAUUUUUUUAGAGGGUUUAGAUGAAUAUAAAUUUAGUAUCUGGCCCCCUCAGGUCUGCCAGUUUUACCAUUUGCCCCCCCCCCCCUAGACUUUCUUCCUAGCUCCGCCAGUGCUGAACAUACUGGCCCAUUUCACCAAGGAAAUUCCCUUGCUAUGCUAAAGUAAACCUGUUAUCAAUUGCAUUUUUUAACAAAACUUAUCACUACUUACUAUACUUAGUUUCUACUGAUUUUCACCGAGAAAUAUUGGAGGCUAGGUAGUUGAAUUCAAAAUCGGUCCUAUAAGCCCUAUGUAGUUCCCAUUCACUUUAUAAAGGUAGGCGAAGCACGCACGAACCAAUAGCAACUACAUGAUGCAGCCGCUCAACGCCCAAUCCAAUUUUGCUGCAUCACACACCUUUAAAAAGACACUUCAUUGUUUAAUCCGCAUUUUUUGGGACUUGGUACAUCCGGAAAAUGAUUGACUCCGGACUUCUUAAGAAGGCUAUAGGAAGAGGGUUUAGAGAUCCUUCUUCGCAAAACCGGGAAAUUUCAGGGAGAUUGUUUUAAAGGCACCUAGCUAUUUCAGUACUCUCUCUAAUAGUCGGUUCGGUGUCCUAUUGUUCAAUCAAUUUUGUGAACCCGCAGAAAAGCAGUACUUGUUUAUCGAAACAGAAUAAUGUUAUGACCAUCCAGAAGUUCCUUUGGAGUUUCCAUGAUCAAUUUAACUUAUAAAACCUUUUUGUUAUGUACUAUUCAUGUUUUUUUGGAAAAUAGAAUAAUAUUAUGAGUAUCCAAAAGUUCCUUUGGAGUUUCAUGAUCAAAUGAACUUAAAACUUAUUUCAUUAUGCACACAUGUUUUUUUGGUCAGUACUUAUAAGAUCUUGCCGAAUAAUUUUCCGAAAUUUUCACCAAGCAACUGUUUUUUUCUUCAGGAUUGUGGGAAAUAGGAGCUCAGCUGCUAGGCCAUUCUAUUGGUGUACCAAUUCUGGAUUAUUCAUUAUGUUCUCUUUAUUGCUAAUGAUAAACGUCCUUCCAGUAUGACAACCUUAAAUUUCGCCAUUCUAUUGGUGAUUUUUUGGUAUUUCAUUGCAGGAGACACCAAAUGUAGAGUCACCAUAUCUAACUUUUACUUUGACAUGGCUGGGUGUUCGUCUUCUACAUAUCUGUUUUAUGCUCUAUUGUCUACUUACCAACAAGAAGAUAAGUUGAAUGCUUCACCUUGGCAAAGUGCAGCUGU